GGCGGCACGCCUAACACAUGCAAGUCGAGCGGCAGCGAGAGUAGUAGCAAUACUACUUGUCGGCGAGCGGCGGACGGGUGAGGAACACGUAGGAAUCUGCCCAGAAGAGGGGGAUAACCAAGGGAAACUUUGGCUAAUACCGCAUAAUCUCGAGAGAGAAAAGCUGCCCGCAAGGGUGGCGCUUUUGGAGGAGCCUGCGUCCGAUUAGCUAGUUGGUAGGGUAAAGGCCUACCAAGGCGAUGAUCGGUAACUGGUCUGAGAGGACGACCAGUCACACUGGGACUGAGACACGGCCCAGACUCCUACGGGAGGCAGCAGUGGGGAAUAUUGGACAAUGGGGGCAACCCUGAUCCAGCGAUGCCGCGUGAGUGAAGAAGGCCUUCGGGUCGUAAAGCUCUUUANGUUGGGAAGAAGANUAUGAGGGUAACAUCCUUGU
Molecule: ribosomal RNA, 436 nt
Filed under: uncultured Gammaproteobacteria bacterium
Lineage: Bacteria; Pseudomonadati; Pseudomonadota; Gammaproteobacteria
Description: bacterial SSU rRNA
Rfam family: Bacterial small subunit ribosomal RNA
Source: RNAcentral